UACGGGGGGAGCAAGCGUUGUUCGGAUUUACUGGGCGUAAAGGGCGCGUAGGCGGCCAGCACAAGUCAGUUGUGAAAUCUCCGAGCUUAACUCGGUAAGGUCAACUGAUACUGUGCGGCUAGAGUGCGGAAGGGGCAACUGGAAUUCUUGGUGUAGCGGUGAAAUGCGUAGAUAUCAAGAGGAACACCUGCGGCGAAGGCGGGUUGCUGGGCCGACACUGACGCUGAGGCGCGAAAGCCAGGGGAGCGAACGGG
Molecule: ribosomal RNA, 254 nt
Filed under: uncultured bacterium
Lineage: Bacteria
Description: partial 16S ribosomal RNA
Rfam family: Bacterial small subunit ribosomal RNA
Source: RNAcentral